CAGUAGCCACGGGAAUACGGAGGGUGCAAGCGUUAAUCGGAACUACUGGGCGUAAAGCGCACGCAGGCGGUCUGACAAGUCAGAUGUGAAAUCCCCGGGCUUAACCUGGGAACUGCAUUUGAAACUGUCAGGCUGGAGUCUUGUAGAGGGGGGUGGAAUUCCAGGUGUAGCGGUGAAAUGCGUAGAGAUCUGGAGGAAUACCGGUGGCGAAGGCGGCCCCCUGGACAAAGACUGACGCUCAGGUGCGAAAGCGUGGGGAGCAAACAGGAUUAGAUACCCCAGUAGUCCCUGUCUCUUAUAC
RNAcentral lists this ribosomal RNA (301 nucleotides) under uncultured bacterium. RNAcentral describes it as "partial 16S ribosomal RNA". It matches the Rfam family "Bacterial small subunit ribosomal RNA", at positions 509 to 807 of the family's 1533-position model. The record is from RNAcentral.